UUUCUAUGCAUCACUAUGCCAGAUCAUUUUCUUUUCCGAUGGGUAGAAAGUCACUGGUUUUCCUCCUAAAUCGAAUUCUUUUUUUCUAGGAAAGCUCCUCAAAUGUCACUUUACUAAUAUUGUUUCUUUGCAAGCAGGGAUUUUAAACGGAGGACAUAAACCAGCAACCUCCCCACUCACAGGUAUUUCUCCAAUUUAACUUUCUGUGCUGUAGACUGGGCCAUGGCCUGAAAAAGGCAGUGAGUUGGUCAGCCAGUGUAAAUGACCAAACCAGACAUGUACUGGUCCCAUUCAGACACCCUGAGAACUUAGUGUGUGCAAACAUUUCUGGCUGUGUCCUGUGAGAUCAUCGUAUGUAAUCUAUCUGUUUCUAGCAGCAGAGAGCCAUGAGGAUAUAUUUCAUGAGGAGUAUUUUGAAAUACGUUUCUACAAACCAUUCUCUUACAUGAAAUGAAGUGACCCUCAUUUGGAGUAACAGGCACGCAAGAAAGAUUCUCACACUUGUUUUCCCUGUGCUUCUGUUUCUUGUCUUCCUAGUGGGCUGUUCAUUGCAAUGAUUAUGAGUCUGCUCUUCCCUGUGUUAUUGAGGUUCACAGCUGGGGUUCUUUUCUGGAUUUUCAUCUUUGGUGUGAUUGGAAUUAUGGGUUAUGGUAGGUGUAAUCCUCCAGCCUCUGAGGCUGUUUUUCCUUACUGCUUAAUUUUGGGCAAAUAAAGUAAGUGAUUACAUCAAUUAAAUGCUAUAGCUGUGAGAACUAGUGCCUAGGUUUAGACACAGUUAAGUGAGAAGGGCUUAAAUGGCAGUGAAAUUUAGUAAGAAUCCAGCUGUGCUGAUACUUAGCACCAGAGGUAGUAACCCGAACUAUCUACCCACAGUGUGCUUAGUCUGUAUUCACUUGUACUGAUCUUUCUUUUCUAUAUACGUGAUGUUACAGCUGACUAGUCUCUCAGUAAUGCGUGUUUGGGUUUUGCUUACCUGACAUGCUGAGGACAAAACACUUCACUUGUCAAAGAUUUAAAAAAACCCCAACCUUGUCUUUGCACUCUUCAGAAACACUCAUUUUAUGUUGAUUGUUUUUUAACAGGCAUCUGGCAUUGUUACUGGGAGUACGACCAUCUUAAAAGAAUACCUGGAUCUGACCUCACUGUUUAUGAUACUGGAUUCCAGAGAGACUUCAGAGUGUGCCUGCAGCUGAGGCAAACAUGGUUAGCUUUUAGGGCGCUGCUGGCGGCUGGUUACUGGGUGUUACUGGGCACCUUCCUCUCCCCCCAUACCCCGCCCCGGCCUCAUCACCUUCCUCCAAGUGGCAAAUCUGCCCAUCGUCAUCCUCAGCAGGGUGAGGGGGUCACCCCUUGGGGGGGGUUAAGCCCUGGGUCACCAUAAGCCCCCCCUGAAUUGACCCAGUACUUUGUUCCCUCCUAUUCAACCCAAUG
This is an RNA transcript of Strigops habroptila (Kakapo), 1431 nucleotides long. It is a transcript of the gene named choline transporter-like protein 5, with no coding region annotated. The record is from RefSeq and is a predicted model, not a curated record. The transcript has 2 exons. NCBI's taxonomy places the organism in Eukaryota, Metazoa, Chordata, Aves, Psittaciformes, Psittacidae.